GCCUCCUGGCCUGGGACUGAGAGAGAAAGUGCUAAUGAGAUUAGGCUCCGAAGUCUCCAUCUUACCACAAUCCCUCCCCACCUGUACUCACUGCCCACCCCCACCGCCAGCCUGACUCAGACAUUUCUGUUUUAGCUUCCCACACACAGGCCAGGGCUGCCUCGCCUGUCUGUGCGUCAUGGAGAAUUCAGCAGUGGUGACCCCAACAUCAGAGCUCCCCAGCUUCUGGGAUGUUCAGAGCCCUCAGCCUACAGCCUGGGAGGCCUCGUGCCCAGACGCCACGCACCCUCCGGUGACCAGCAGCCACCUGUCCAUCCCCCAAGACCAGAAAGGCAGCAGCAGCCCCCGGGAGCCCAGGACUGUCCUCGGGUUUGAGCCAGCGUCUUCCUACAAGACGAGCAGCUGGUACCUUUGGAGUUCUGGAGCUGCAGCCAAGCAGGUUCCCUCCGUAUCCUCUUCAGCCAGGGCUUUCGCUCUUCCACUGAAUUUGCACACUUUCCAAUGCAGUUCAAAGCAGUUUGAAAUAAAGUCAUUCUCAUAUUCUGUGGUCUGUGAUCUGCCCUCUGCGACUGUUGGGAGUGUUGGGGGAUUC
Molecule: long non-coding RNA, 592 nt
Organism: Macaca fascicularis (crab-eating macaque)
Lineage: Eukaryota; Metazoa; Chordata; Mammalia; Primates; Cercopithecidae
Source: Ensembl